UAAUUUUUGUAACAGCAAUUCUUCCUGCCUUUUUAAUCAUAUGUCAACAAUUUCCAUAAUCCUAUUACCUAACUUUUGUUCCCAAGAUUGAUCUUCCAUGAUCCUCUUGUAGAGGCUGAGUGGGAUAUUGGAAAAGGAAGAAGAACAGAAAAGAAAACUGAAUAGAGGAAAGGAAAGAGAAAAUAGAAGAAAGGAGAAUUUCAGGAAUUUCCAUGAACAAGUUUCUUGAAAUGUGGGAAGUGAAAAAUUAAAGAAGAAAAAUA
Molecule: unclassified non-coding RNA, 263 nt
Filed under: Hevea brasiliensis (rubber tree)
Lineage: Eukaryota; Viridiplantae; Streptophyta; Magnoliopsida; Malpighiales; Euphorbiaceae
Source: RNAcentral